Molecule: long non-coding RNA, 527 nt
Organism: Ictalurus punctatus (channel catfish)
Lineage: Eukaryota; Metazoa; Chordata; Actinopteri; Siluriformes; Ictaluridae
Source: Ensembl
CUUGCGGAAUGGGUGAGUGGUCAGAAUUCCUUGCGGAAUGGGUGAGAGAGGACAGAAUUCCUUCGAGAGUAGGUGGGUAGUGUCAGAAUUCCUUUGGGAGAAGGUGAAAGUGGUUCAAAUUUCCUUUAGGAGCAAGUGUGGGUGGUCAUAAACUCCUGUAGGACCGGGUGGGAGUGGGACUUUAAAAAAAAACCCUGCACACCUCUUCUCCAUCGUGCAAAUUUUGCAUCCCUCUGCACCCAAGACUCGCCAUCCAAAGUUGGAAGUAACAUGUAUGAAGUAUGGUGUUUUUCAGAGACUAACCACAUCUACAUUUGGGUUAAAGCUAAAUGUGCAUAAAUGAAAUGUUUAGCUGAAGACUUAGAGUCUUAACAUGCAAUAACUGCCCUCUCCUACUAAAAUACGUCAUUAGAAACACAUGAAAUAUGUUCAUUAGCUUAAAAAUCCUUAAUAUUUGAUACAUAUUUUAACGUACGGAGGCCGCCAUUACGUGACAUGGGCAAUGGUUGCACUCGAGCACUCAAAAG